RNAcentral lists this ribosomal RNA (446 nucleotides) under uncultured bacterium. RNAcentral describes it as "bacterial SSU rRNA". It matches the Rfam family "Bacterial small subunit ribosomal RNA", at positions 331 to 793 of the family's 1533-position model. The record is from RNAcentral.
CCAGACUCCUACGGGAGGCAGCAGUGGGGAAUAUUGCACAAUGGGGGAAACCCUGAUGCAGCGACGCCGCGUGAGCGAUGAAGUAUUUCGGUAUGUAAAGCUCUAUCAGCAGGGAAGAAAUUGGACGGUACCUGACUAAGAAGCCCCGGCUAACUACGUGCCAGCAGCCGCGGUAAUACGUAGGGGGCAAGCGUUAUCCGGAUUCACUGGGUGUAAAGGGAGCGUAGACGGCCAUGCAAGCCUGGAGUGAAAGCCCGGGGCCCAACCCCGGGACUGCUCUGGGAACUGUGCGGCUGGAGUGCGGGAGGGGCAGGCGGAAUUCCUGGUGUAGCGGUGAAAUGCGUAGAUAUCAGGAGGAACACCGGCGGCGAAGGCGGCCUGCUGGACCGCGACUGACGUUGAGGCUCGAAAGCGUGGGGAGCAAACAGGAUUAGAUACCCUCGUAC